AUUGAUUUCAAUACAUUAUUUAAAUUUAAAUUUGACUUCAUGGGCAUGGGUAGGCUCAUUCCUGUUUAUUACAGGUGGAGUGAAACAGGAAUCAAGAUAAGAUUCACCACCAGUGGAAUCCAAUACAUAGGGGAUACAAGAAGAGAUAAACGAGAUUUACGCCAUUAUACUUAUACGUACAUAAUAGCUAAAAUUAACACACAUGUACAAGAACAUUUUUUGUCAUUCACUAU
Molecule: long non-coding RNA, 233 nt
Filed under: Carica papaya (papaya)
Lineage: Eukaryota; Viridiplantae; Streptophyta; Magnoliopsida; Brassicales; Caricaceae
Description: long non-coding RNA (CPAP_LNC001836)
Source: RNAcentral